RNAcentral lists this transfer RNA (63 nucleotides) under Fascioloides magna. RNAcentral's name for it is "tRNA-Asp". Lineage: Eukaryota; Metazoa; Platyhelminthes; Trematoda; Plagiorchiida; Fasciolidae. The record is from RNAcentral.
UUGUUUCUAGUUUAUCUAGAAUACUAGUUUGUCGUAUUAGAGGUGUAUUUUGUACGGAGCAAG